CCAGAGGAUCUGAAAAGGCCUCCGGAGCGCGCUCCAGCCAACCAGCCGAGCCGUUCCGUGACUGCAUCGCCCACAAGGCGGACUGACGAGGUUGCGACUGGAACGAGUCGUCCUGAGGGACGGGGAAGCGAUUUUCGUACAGCCUGAUGACAGUCACGACAGCGAGCGAGUGCCCAACGGUAUCCACGAACCGAUAAGCGCUCCGGCGAAUCUUCGC
Molecule: non-coding RNA, 217 nt
Filed under: uncultured Pseudomonas sp.
Lineage: Bacteria; Pseudomonadati; Pseudomonadota; Gammaproteobacteria; Pseudomonadales; Pseudomonadaceae
Description: sRNA regulator of biofilms A
Rfam family: sRNA regulator of biofilms A
About the family: Bacterial strain with deleted SrbA had reduced biofilm mass. However, the deletion of srbA had no effect on growth or antibiotic resistance in P. aeruginosa.
Source: RNAcentral